Molecule: ribosomal RNA, 253 nt
Filed under: uncultured bacterium
Lineage: Bacteria
Description: partial 16S ribosomal RNA
Rfam family: Bacterial small subunit ribosomal RNA
Source: RNAcentral
GACAGAGGGGGCAAGCGUUGCUCGGAAUUACUGGGCGUAAAGGGCGCGUAGGCGGGAUGGCAAGUCGGUCGUGAAAUCCCUCGGCUCAACUGAGGAUCGUCGAUCGAUACUGCCGUUCUUGAGGAUUGCAGAGGAGACUGGAAUUCCCGGUGUAGCGGUGAAAUGUGUAGAGAUCGGGAGGAACACCGGUGGCGAAGGCAGCUUGCUACACAAUCAUUGGCACUGAGGCACGAAAGCGUGGGGAUCAAACAGG